RNAcentral lists this ribosomal RNA (253 nucleotides) under uncultured bacterium. RNAcentral describes it as "partial 16S ribosomal RNA". It matches the Rfam family "Bacterial small subunit ribosomal RNA", at positions 524 to 776 of the family's 1533-position model. The record is from RNAcentral.
GACGAACCGUACGAACGUUAUUCGGAAUCACUGGGCUUAAAGGGUGCGUAGGCGGGCAGGUAAGUCCGUGGUGAAAUCUCUGAGCUUAACUCAGAAACUGCCAUGGAUACUAUUUGUCUUGAAUAUUGUGGAGGUAAGCGGAAUAUGUCAUGUAGCGGUGAAAUGCUUAGAUAUGACAUAGAACACCAAUUGCGAAGGCAGCUUACUACACAGUUAUUGACGCUGAGGCACGAAAGCGUGGGGAUCAAACAGG